GGCGGCGAUGCGGGCCUGUUGCGUGCGCGUGGUAAAUGCGAGAGAAACAGAAAAAAAGAGACGACACAAGAUUAGAAUAUUUCAGAGAAGUUCCAGAAAAGAUUGAAUAAAGUCCCAGUGUUUCGACGUGUUACCUUCUCCGUCUUGUCGUCGUCGAUCGGGCCGUCGUCGUUCAACCAAUAUGGUCGCGAGAGGAAGUUACUGCCGUCGCGAUUGCCUUCGGU
This is a long non-coding RNA of Vollenhovia emeryi, 224 nucleotides long. RefSeq lists it as uncharacterized. NCBI's taxonomy places the organism in Eukaryota, Metazoa, Arthropoda, Insecta, Hymenoptera, Formicidae. The record is from RefSeq and is a predicted model, not a curated record. The transcript has 3 exons.